UACGGAGGGGGCUAGCGUUGUUCGGAAUUACUGGGCGUAAAGCGCACGUAGGCGGCUUUGUAAGUCAGAGGUGAAAGCCCAGGGCUCAACCCUGGAAUUGCCUUUAAGACUGCAUCGCUUGAACAUCGGAGAGGUAAGUGGAAUUCCGAGUGUAGAGGUGAAAUUCGUAGAUAUUCGGAAGAACACCAGUGGCGAAGGCGACUUACUGGACGAUUGUUGACGCUGAGGUGCGAAAGCGUGGGGAGCAAACAGG
Molecule: ribosomal RNA, 253 nt
Filed under: uncultured bacterium
Lineage: Bacteria
Description: partial 16S ribosomal RNA
Rfam family: Bacterial small subunit ribosomal RNA
Source: RNAcentral